AGUGAACGCUGGCGGCAUGCCUAACACAUGCAAGUCGAGCGGCAGCGCGGGGGCAACCCUGGCGGCGAGCGGCGGACGGGUGAGGAAUUCGUCGGAAUCUGCCUUUUUGUGGGGGAUAACGUAGGGAAACUUACGCUAAUACCGCAUACGUCCUACGGGAGAAAGUGGGGGACCGCAAGGCCUCACGCAGAAAGAUGAGCCGACGACCGAUUAGCUAGUUGGUGGGGUAAAGGCCCACCAAGGCGACGAUCGGUAGCUGGUCUGAGAGGAUGAUCAGCCACACUGGGACUGAGACACGGCCCAGACUCCUACGGGAGGCAGCAGUGGGGAAUAUUGGACAAUGGGCGCAAGCCUGAUCCAGCCAUGCCGCGUGUGUGAAGAAGGCCUUCGGGUUGUAAAGCACUUUUGUCCGGAAAGAAAUCCCUGGAGCUAAUACCUUCGGGGGAUGACGGUACCGGAAGAAUAAGCACCGGCUAACUUCGUG
RNAcentral lists this ribosomal RNA (484 nucleotides) under uncultured bacterium. RNAcentral's name for it is "partial 16S ribosomal RNA". It matches the Rfam family "Bacterial small subunit ribosomal RNA", at positions 29 to 507 of the family's 1533-position model. The record is from RNAcentral.